This 115-nucleotide ribosomal RNA is filed under the name Escherichia coli. RNAcentral also lists the same sequence under 1 other name. Lineage: Bacteria; Pseudomonadati; Pseudomonadota; Gammaproteobacteria; Enterobacterales; Enterobacteriaceae. The record is from RNAcentral.
UUGGCGGCCGUAGCGCGGUGGUCCCACCUGACCCCAUGCCGAACUCAGAAGUGAAACGCCGUAGCGCCGAUGGUAGUGUGGGGUCUCCCCAUGCGAGAGUAGGGAACUGCCAGGC